This 440-nucleotide ribosomal RNA is filed under the name uncultured bacterium. RNAcentral's name for it is "partial 16S ribosomal RNA". It matches the Rfam family "Bacterial small subunit ribosomal RNA", at positions 338 to 795 of the family's 1533-position model. The record is from RNAcentral.
CCUACGGGAGGCAGCAGUGGGGAAUAUUGCACAAUGGGGGAAACCCUGAUGCAGCGACGCCGCGUGAGUGAAGAAGUAUUUCGGUAUGUAAAGCUCUAUCAGCAGGGAAGAAAAUGACGGUACCUGAUUAAGAAGCCCCGGCUAAAUACGUGCCAGCAGCCGCGGUAAUACGUAGGGGGCCAGCGUUAUCCGGAUUUACUGGGUGUAAAGGGAGCGUAGACGGCAGCACAAGGCUGGAGGGAAAUGCCUGGGCUUAACCCCGGAACUGCUUUGGAAACUGUGCAGCUAGAGUGCAGGAGAGGUAAGGGGAAUUCCUAGUGUAGCGGUGAAAUGCGUAGAUAUUAGGAGGAACACCAGUGGCGAAGGCGGCUUACUGGACUGUAACUGACGUUGAGGCUCGAAAGCGUGGGGAGCAAACAGGAUUAGAUACCCCAGUAGUC